AAACCAGCACCUCAAGUGGUCAGGAGGAUUAUUGGGCCUAAAGCAUCCGUAGCCUGUUCUGUAAGUUUUCGGUUAAAUCCAUUAGCUCAACUAAUGGGCCGCCGAAAAUACUGUAGAACUAGGGAGUGGGAGAGGUAGACGGCAUUCGGUAGGAAGGGGUAAAAUCCUUUGAUCUAUUGAGGACCACCUGUGGCGAAGGCGGUCUACCAGAACACGAUCGACGGUGAGGGAUGAAAGCUGGGGGAGCAAACCGGAUUAGAAACCCGAGUAGUCC
This 274-nucleotide ribosomal RNA is filed under the name uncultured bacterium. Its description in RNAcentral is "partial 16S ribosomal RNA". It matches the Rfam family "Archaeal small subunit ribosomal RNA", at positions 473 to 747 of the family's 1478-position model. The record is from RNAcentral.